AGACGCCGAGAAACCUUGUUUUUAAGGUCCAUGUAAACGUUGCUAUUUGAAAUUACAUCGGUAAGAAUGAAACAUCCCGCUCUUGCCUGCAGGAUCUAAGACACUUUGAUGCAGAGAAGCAGCCUCGAUUUCUAUCCAGCAUGUAUAAGGACUCUGCUGGGAUCAAAGACCUAAAAUAAUACAGUGGUGGCUGACGCUUAAAUGAGAGUGAGCAUGGUGCUCGGUGAAGGUGUGGAGGUGGCAAGGCCAGAGUCCUGACUGAGAUCAUCCAGAUGGAGUGCUGUGUGAGACGAUGAGAGCCGAGAUCAGAGGCAUGUGGAACUUGGUAGUGAUCAGUUAGGGGAGAGGUCCUUGUGGUUGUGUUAUGUGGGAUGCUGCAACAGCAUGGCUUGAUGAGCGGUGCCACGUCCAUGGCCAGGAUCCGAACCAGUGAAACCCUGGGCCGCUGAAGUGGAGCAUGAAUUAACCACUGGGCCACAGGGCCAACCUCCUCAGACCACA
This 501-nucleotide long non-coding RNA is filed under the name Equus caballus (horse). RNAcentral describes it as "lncRNA (ENSECAG00000053016.1)". The record is from RNAcentral. Lineage: Eukaryota; Metazoa; Chordata; Mammalia; Perissodactyla; Equidae.